Molecule: unclassified non-coding RNA, 292 nt
Filed under: uncultured fungus
Lineage: Eukaryota; Fungi
Description: sequence contains ITS1
Source: RNAcentral
GGACUACCAGGGUAUCUAAUCCUGUUUGCUCCCCACGCUUUCGAACAUGAGUGUCAGUUAGAGUCCAGGAAGCCGCCUUCGCCACCGGUGUUCCUCCGAAUAUCUACGAAUUUCACCUCUACACUCGGAAUUCCGCUUCCCCCUACUCUACUCAAGAAAGGCAGUAUCAAAGGCAAUGCCACAGUUAAGCUGUGGUCUUUCACCCCUGACUUACCAAACCACCUGCGUUCGCUUUACGCCCAAUAAAUCCGAACAACGCUCGCCACCUCUGUCUUACCGCGGCGGCUGACAC